This is a long non-coding RNA of Corapipo altera (White-ruffed manakin), 370 nucleotides long. RefSeq lists it as uncharacterized. The transcript has 2 exons. NCBI's taxonomy places the organism in Eukaryota, Metazoa, Chordata, Aves, Passeriformes, Pipridae. The record is from RefSeq and is a predicted model, not a curated record.
GUGUGUGUUUGUGUGUUGUGUGCUCUGUCUUGGAGCACACGGAGUCCCAGAGCGGAUUGAGUAGAAAAGGGCCUUAAAGGCCGCCCGGUUCCGACCCGCGAGCAAGCGCGUGUUAAAAUUUAGAACCACAAACGUGCAGAGCCUGCCAUUUAUCCCUCGGCGGUGGUUAACUGAGCUCCGCACGGCGGUUGAAACGCGCUGGCGAAUCGCGAUAGUGAAACAGCGAGUGGAGCGUGGUAUCAAAGAAUAAGGCGGCAGUUCCCUCUGCAAUGCUUUCCACACUACUGUUAAUUCACUGGAAGGGAGCGAAUAUGGAGCAGGGAGAUAGGUUUGUCUUUCCCUCCCACAUAUACAGAGCUCCUGCAUAACC